RNAcentral lists this unclassified non-coding RNA (199 nucleotides) under uncultured Tomentella. RNAcentral describes it as "sequence contains ITS1". The record is from RNAcentral. Lineage: Eukaryota; Fungi; Basidiomycota; Agaricomycetes; Thelephorales; Thelephoraceae.
CCGAAUUGUCAACAAGGGUUGUUGCUGGCCCCUGUAUGGGGGCAUGUGCACACUCUGUUUACACAUCCAUUCACACCUGUGCACCCUCUGUAGUUCUAUGGCCUGGGGGGCCCUGUCCUUCUGCUGUGGUUCUAUGUCUUUACACACACACCGAAAUAAAGUCUAACGGAAUGUAUGUCGCGUUUAACGCAAUGAAAUA